CUAUUCUCGGACCUUCAUUUCACCGUCGUCUUCCUCUGGGCUCUGGUAUACGCCAGAUUUUCAUGUUUAUGUGAAUCUGUAAUUGACUGAUUUGUAGAGUGCUUAGGCUACUGUAGAUUCAAGUCUGCGGAUGUCUCUCGCGAUUCAAGCAGUUCCUCAAUUUCUUCCCUCAGGCAGCACAAUGCCCGCUCAAUGGUUAUCUCUAACCCAAAAUUUUUCCAAAUUUUCCCUCAAUUAUCCAACGUCAGUCCCCUUUCGGACGAUUCCGAUAUGGAUGGGCUGUCCCCGGAUCAGUCCAGGAGGGCCCACGAAAAGGAAAUGGAGGACAAUGCAGGCCAAGAAGGCAAAGCAGCUGCAUAAGGCUGGAUUGGCCAGAGAACGCGAAAUAUACAAGUUGAGGAAACAGGCUGAACUCAGAGCCGCUACUGUCGAACUCGAACGCCCAUGGGAGAGGGCUGCGCCGCCGAAAAAUGCGUUGGAUGCUGGUGUCGAGGAGCGUUUGGAUGAUUGGUUUCAGAAGCCCGAUGGCCUUCAUUUGUUAUCUGAUAGGGACAGCCAUGGCAAUAUAUUGCUGUCGUCUUCUGGCUUUUCACCUGAAGGGGUUGGUCAUAGGGUUUAUGGGAAUACGGGGGAAAUGAUUCCUGCGUCUGAGGAUAUUUGCUUCCCCCCUUUGGAAGAGGACUUCUACACUCAGCCAAACAAUGUAAAUGUGAGGAAAUCAAGUCAGCAAAAAACGUGGCCUUGCAAGAAUUCUAGAAGCCGAAGGAGUGCUUCAUAUAAAGGAGAAAGCGGGAAGAAUGGCAGAAAAAGUUGGAAGUGAGGAAGGAGAGAGUUCUAGCAACAUUUACUUUAUUAACUGGAAAGGAAGAAGUUCUGUAGAUGCAGGAUUUCCUAGUAGGGGUGACAAUCAUGGGAGAAGCAGAGGGUAGAUGGGAAUUUGAUUAAAGAACGAAGGAUGUUAAUGGUUCUCCUACGAGUGCAGAUGGAGUAGUGGAUUUCACUUUUAUUUGAUACCAAAGUUCAUAGCUUUUCUAUCGAAAAUUUGGGUCUAAUGCCAUUCGUCAGCUAUAUCUAUUGAUUGGAGCAACAGAAUGAAGGCUGAAGAUUGUGAACACAGGUUUACCGUUCUGUCUCUGUUACUGAAGAAUUUCUUGUUGCCUCUGUGAUUGAACGAAGAUGGGAAUUUUCUCAAAAAACGUCUAUUUGAUCUCUCCUAUGAGUUUGACCACUUCCCACGUGGUAAAAUCUUAGUGGGGCAGCUGGAUAUGGAUUCGGAUUGAGGAAUUCUGAAACAACCCUUUAGAAUUUGUAGUAAUUAGAAGCUAUCUCAUCUCGAGUACACAAAGAACCACAUGCAAAGGUUUAGAGCAAAGCAUAUUUUACCAAGAAUGCUGACAGGCAGCGGCGGAUCUAUUAAGGAAGGAGCAAGGGUGGGCUCCACUUCAACUCCACUUUUAUUUUAUUUUAUUAAAUUUUUUUUUAUUUUUAAAAGAAUAAUAUAUAUACAAUCUAUAUAAAAUAUUU
Molecule: RNA transcript, 1524 nt
Organism: Andrographis paniculata
Lineage: Eukaryota; Viridiplantae; Streptophyta; Magnoliopsida; Lamiales; Acanthaceae
Exons: 3
Source: RefSeq, a predicted model, not a curated record